ACAAACACACUCACACAUAUAGACAGACACACACACACAUAAAGAGACAAACACACACACACACACACACACACACACACACAGAUAAAGAGACAAGCACAAACACACACACCCACACACAGAGUCACACACACAUAAAGAGACAGACAAACACACUAAGCCACAAACACACACACUAAGUCACAGACACAGACAUACACAAACACAUUCACACACAUAGACAGACACACACACACACAUAAAG
Molecule: long non-coding RNA, 244 nt
Filed under: Glycine max (soybean)
Lineage: Eukaryota; Viridiplantae; Streptophyta; Magnoliopsida; Fabales; Fabaceae
Description: long non-coding RNA (GMAX_LNC003952)
Source: RNAcentral